Prionailurus viverrinus (fishing cat) is the source of this 1390-nucleotide long non-coding RNA. RefSeq lists it as uncharacterized. The record is from RefSeq and is a predicted model, not a curated record. The transcript has 3 exons. NCBI's taxonomy places the organism in Eukaryota, Metazoa, Chordata, Mammalia, Carnivora, Felidae.
CGCGAGCGAACAUUCGCACCUGGUUCAAUGCGGACCCUUGUUCCCGGAGCGGAGUUGGGGGAUGGGGUGGAAGCGACUUUUUACCAGUAUACGGAACCCCGGAAACGUGCUGGGGCUAAGGAACUACUGACAGCCUCCUAUGGCCAUGCUCUCCUAUGAGUUCUGGGGGCUGGCACUUACUGUACAGAACAGAAUGGACCUGUCCCUACCUUCAGAGACCUUCCAGCUUUGGGGAGAAGAUCAGCAAAUCAGGGGAGAAUUACACAGCAGCAGCAAGCUCUUUGACAGAGGUCUUUCUUCUAAUUCUUCUGGCCAAUCAAGGUCCCAGCAAGCCGCUGACAGGGUGAGAGAAGGGAAAAAGGCAAGAUUUAUCUAGGCCUUUGAUGUACCAGGAGCGUCUAGAGUGUCCUCAUCUACGGUAUCUCAUUUUAUCCUCUCUACCUCCCUGUGAACUAGAGCUUUUUAUGCCCAUUUUGACACCUGAAGAAACCAAGGCUCCAGCAAUUAAGUAACUUGCCCGAGGAUGGAGUACAGAGCCAGGCUUCCAAUCCAGGGGUCACUUUUCAGAGCUUUUGCCCUUCCUGCAUCCUGGGACGAAGUGGAAUACAACAGAAAACCUCUACUGGGAUCACAUGGCAAGUUUACUUCUCUCCGGGGAGACUCUAGCCCUUUUUCCCCAACCUACGAAAAAGAAAAGGCCGAGGGGAGACUGAAGAUCUUUUGUGAGAUCUGCUAGAACUUCAUGAAAAGGUGCUGACACCACAAAGCAAGAACUUGGAUCCCAUCCCUGCCUCCUGGGAUUAACCUAUAUUUCCUCAUUGGCCCAUUGGCCUGAGAUCCAAGAGACAAAGAGAGACAUGCCCCAGAGCACAGGCAGCAGAAAAGUUCGGGCGAGUUCUGGAAGACUCUGACCUGCCCCAGGCUAGGGAGGGCACUACCUGGAGAGUUCUGCCAGAUUCUUCUGAAGCUGUCACUUGGGCCUGGCCCCUCCUCCUUCCCCUCUCUCCUCCCCCACGUCUGACCCUGCAGAGAGGCACGUCCAGCACGAAUUCCUCCGAACCUCAGCUGCCUUUAGGAUUUUAAUGUGUCUAAAGAGUUCCCUUCCUUGACAAGCGGCAGCAUUAGUCAAGUUGAGUGGGUGGGAAGGGCAUUUCCCGUCAAUCCAGGGCCCCGGAGGGAGGGGAGACCCUCCUCCCUCCCAGCCUCGGCAAGCAGCUCCUGCAGAGAUCCACGUGGGUGGCACCUGAGUCCAGAGGAGCCAAAGGGUUGCUUGCUGGGCAGGAAUGCCCACAGCCCGCACCUUCCUCAGCCCUCCUAGCACCUCAUCCUGUCUGGACCCGUGGAGGGGGUGGCGGUGCCAGGGAGUGGGUUCUCCUGUGUCUGACUCCAA